AAUGAUACCCCGGUAGUCCACGCCGUAAACGGUGGGCACUAGGUGUGGGCGACAUUCCACGUCGUCCGUGCCGCAGCUAACGCAUUAAGUGCCCCGCCUGGGGAGUACGGCCGCAAGGCUAAAACUUAAAGGAAUUGACGGGGGCCCGCACAAGCGGCGGAGCAUGUGGCUUAAUUCGACGCAACGCGAAGAACCUUACCAAGGCUUGACAUACACCGGAAACGUCCAGAGAUGGGCGCCCCCUUGUGGUCGGUGUACAGGUGGUGCAUGGCUGUCGUCAGCUCGUGUCGUGAGAUGUUGGGUUAAGUCCCGCAACGAGCGCAACCCUUGUCCCGUGUUGCCAGCAGGCCCUUGUGGUGCUGGGGACUCACGGGAGACCGCCGGGGUCAACUCGGAGGAAGGUGGGGACGACGUCAAGUCAUCAUGCCCCUUAUGUCUUGGGCUGCACACGUGCUACAAUGGCCGGUACAAUGAGCUGCGAUACCGCGAGGUGGAGCGAAUCUCAAAAAGCCGGUCUCAGUUCGGAUUGGGGUCUGCAACUCCG
This 544-nucleotide ribosomal RNA is filed under the name uncultured bacterium. RNAcentral's name for it is "bacterial SSU rRNA". It matches the Rfam family "Bacterial small subunit ribosomal RNA", at positions 778 to 1314 of the family's 1533-position model. The record is from RNAcentral.